Molecule: ribosomal RNA, 520 nt
Filed under: uncultured bacterium
Lineage: Bacteria
Description: bacterial SSU rRNA
Rfam family: Bacterial small subunit ribosomal RNA
Source: RNAcentral
AGAGUUUGAUUAUGGCUCAGGAUGAACGCUAGCUACAGGCUUAACGCAUGCAAGUCGAGGGGCAGCGAGAGAAAGCUUGCUUCUUGUCGGCGACCGGCGCACGGGUGAGUAACGCGUAUCCAACCUUCCCCAUAGUAGGGAAUAGCCCGGCGAAAGUCGGAUUAAUGCCCUAUGUUGUAUUAUGAGGACAUCUGAUUAAUACCAAAGAUUUAUCGCUAUGGGGAUGGGGAUGCGUCUGAUUAGGUAGUUGGCGGGGUAACGGCCCACCAAGCCGACGAUGAUUAGGGGUCCUGAGAGGGUUAACCCCCACACUGGAACUGAGACACGGUCCAGACUCCUACGGGAGGCAGCAGUAGGGAAUAUUGGGCAAUGGAGGCAACUCUGACCCAGCCAUGCCCGCGUGAAGGAAGACGGCCCUAUGGGUUGUAAACUUCUUUUGCCGCAGAGUAAACACGGGGACGUGUCCCCGUUUGAGAGUAUGCGGCGAAUAAGUAUCGGCUAACUCCGUGCCAGCCGCCGC